CAGAGCUGGGGCUGAGGGAUGGACUGAUGCUUUUAGGCUCAAACGUGGCUUUUAGACAGAUUUGUUCAUAGACCCUCUCAAGUGCCCUCUCCGAGCUGAUGUUCUCUCCCAGGGGCUGGCUUCAGGAGGGAGCAUAGAAGGCAGGUGAGCAACCAGUUGGCUAGGGGAGCGGGGGGCCCACCAGAGCUGUGGAGAGGGGACCCUAAGACUCCUCGGCCUGGCUCCUACCCACCGCCCUUGCCGAACCAGGAGCUGCUCACUACCUUCUCAGGGAUGGCCGUUGGCCACGUCUUCCUUCUGCCUGAGCUUCCCCCCUACCACAGGCCCUUUCCUCAGGCAAGGUCUGGCCUCAGGUGGGCCGCAGGCGGGAAGAGCAGCCCUUGGCCAGAAGUCAAGCCCAGCCACGUGGAGCCUAGAGUGAGGGCCUGAGGUCUGGCUGCUUGCCCCCAUGCUGGGGCCAACAACUUCUCCAUCCUUUCUGCCUCUCAACGUCACUUGAAUCCUAGGGCCUGGGUUUUCAUGUUUUUGAAACAGAACCAUAAAGCAUAUGUGUUGGCUUG
This 560-nucleotide long non-coding RNA is filed under the name Pan troglodytes (chimpanzee). RNAcentral's name for it is "long non-coding RNA NONPTRT018395". The record is from RNAcentral. Lineage: Eukaryota; Metazoa; Chordata; Mammalia; Primates; Hominidae.